GUAGGGAAUCUUCCGCAAUGGACGAAAGUCUGACGGAGCAACGCCGCGUGAGUGAUGAAGGCUUUCGGGUCGUAAAACUCUGUUGUUAGGGAAGAACAAGUACGAGAGUAACUGCUCGUACCUUGACGGUACCUAACCAGAAAGCCACGGCUAACUACGUGCCAGCAGCCGCGGUAAUACGUAGGUGGCAAGCGUUAUCCGGAAUUAUUGGGCGUAAAGCGCGCGCAGGCGGUUUCUUAAGUCUGAUGUGAAAGCCCACGGCUCAACCGUGGAGGGUCAUUGGAAACUGGGGAACUUGAGUGCAGAAGAGAAAAGCGGAAUUCCACGUGUAGCGGUGAAAUGCGUAGAGAUGUGGAGGAACACCAGUGGCGAAGGCGGCUUUUUGGUCUGUAACUGACGCUGAGGCGCGAAAGCGUGGGGAGCAAACAGGAUUAGAUACCCGAGUAGUCC
Molecule: ribosomal RNA, 450 nt
Filed under: uncultured bacterium
Lineage: Bacteria
Description: bacterial SSU rRNA
Rfam family: Bacterial small subunit ribosomal RNA
Source: RNAcentral